GUGGGUAUAGCUCAGUGGUAGAGCACAUGCCUAGCACACAGGAGGUCCUGGGUUCAAUCCCUAGUACCUCCA
RNAcentral lists this transfer RNA (72 nucleotides) under Camelus bactrianus (Bactrian camel). It matches the Rfam family "tRNA". Rfam says of the family: Transfer RNA (tRNA) molecules are approximately 80 nucleotides in length. Their secondary structure includes four short double-helical elements and three loops (D, anti-codon, and T loops). Lineage: Eukaryota; Metazoa; Chordata; Mammalia; Artiodactyla; Camelidae. The record is from Rfam by way of RNAcentral. RNAcentral also lists the same sequence under 1 other name.